AACGGUAUUGCUCUUCAAGAAAGUGGCGCACGGGUGCGUAACGCGUAUGCAACCUACCUUAAUCAGGGGGAUAGCCCGAAGAAAUUCGGAUUAACACCGCAUAAAAUCACAGUACAGCAUUGUACAAUGAUCAAAUAUUUAUAGGAUUAAGAUGGGCAUGCGUGUCAUUAGUUAGUUGGCGGGGUAACGGCCCACCAAGACCACGAUGACUAGGGGAUCUGAGAGGAUGACCCCCCACACUGGUACUGAGACACGGACCAGACUCCUACGGGAGGCAGCAGUAAGGAAUAUUGGUCAAUGGAGGCAACUCUGAACCAGCCAUGCCGCGUGCAGGAAGACAGCCCUCUGGGUCGUAAACUGCUUUUAUUCGGGAAUAAACCUACUUACGUGUAAGUAGCUGAAUGUACCGAAGGAAUAAGGAUCGGCUAACUCCGUGCCAGCAGCCGCGGUAAUACGGAGGAUCCAAGCGUUAUCCGGAUUUAUUGGGUUUAAAGGGUGCGUAGGCGGCUUAUUAAGUCAGGGGUGAAAGACGGUGGCUCAACCAUCGCAGUGCCCUUGAUACUGAUGAGCUUGAAUACACUAGAGGUAGGCGGAAUGUGACAAGUAGCGGUGAAAUGCAUAGAUAUGUCACAGAACACCGAUUGCGAAGGCAGCUUACUAUGGUGUUAUUGACGCUGAGGCACGAAAGCGUGGGGAUCAAACAGGAUUAGAUACCCUGGUAGUCCACGCCCUAAACGAUGAAUACUCGCUGUUAGCGAUACACAGUUAGCGGCUAAGCGAAAGCGUUAAGUAUUCCACCUGGGGAGUACGCCCGCAAGGGUGAAACUCAAAGGAAUUGACGGGGGCCCGCACAAGCGGAGGAGCAUGUGGUUUAAUUCGAUGAUACGCGAGGAACCUUACCCGGGCUUGAAAGUUAGUGAAUGAUCUAGAGAUAGAUCAGUGAGCAAUCMCACGAAACUAGGUGCUGCAUGGCUGUCGUCAGCUCGUGCCGUGAGGUGUUGGGUUAAGUCCCGCAACGAGCGCAACCCCUAUGUUUAGUUGCCAGCACGUUAAGGUGGGGACUCUAAACAGACUGCCUGUGCAAACAGAGAGGAAGGAGGGGACGACGUCAAGUCAUCAUGGCCCUUACGUCCGGGGCUACACACGUGCUACAAUGGAUGGUACAGAGGGCAGCAAGCUGGCAACAGCAAGCAAAUCUCAAAAAGCCAUUCACAGUUCGGAUAGAGGUCUGCAACUCGACCUCUUGAAGUUGGAUUCGCUAGUAAUCGCGUAUCAGCAAUGACGCGGUGAAUACGUUCCCGGGCCUUGUACACACCGCCCGUCAAGCCAUGGAAGUUGGGGGUACCUAUAGAGUAUGUAACCGC
RNAcentral lists this ribosomal RNA (1364 nucleotides) under Pedobacter sp. LP2.2. RNAcentral's name for it is "bacterial SSU rRNA". It matches the Rfam family "Bacterial small subunit ribosomal RNA", at positions 65 to 1442 of the family's 1533-position model. The record is from RNAcentral. Lineage: Bacteria; Pseudomonadati; Bacteroidota; Sphingobacteriia; Sphingobacteriales; Sphingobacteriaceae.